Molecule: ribosomal RNA, 253 nt
Filed under: uncultured bacterium
Lineage: Bacteria
Description: partial 16S ribosomal RNA
Rfam family: Bacterial small subunit ribosomal RNA
Source: RNAcentral
UACGUAGGGUGCGAGCGUUAAUCGGAAUUACGGGGCGUAAAGCGUGCGCAGGCGGUCUGCUAAGACAGGUGUGAAAUCCCUGGGCUCAACCUAGGAAUUGCGCUUGUGACUGGCGGGCUAGAGUGCGGUAGAGGGGGGUGGAAUUCCUGGUGUAGCAGUGAAAUGCGUAGAGAUCAGGAGGAACACCGAUGGCGAAGGCAGCCCCCUGGGCCUGUACUUACGCUCAGGCACGAAAGCGUGGGGAGCAAACAGG